GACCUGAUGGUGUAGUGUUAACAUGCCUGCUGAAUUUGAGAGCAAGUUGUAGGAAAGUAAGCAGGAGGCCUCGGUUCGAACCCGGGUCAGGUCA
Molecule: non-coding RNA, 94 nt
Organism: Mycena leptocephala
Lineage: Eukaryota; Fungi; Basidiomycota; Agaricomycetes; Agaricales; Mycenaceae
Source: the annotation of a GenBank genome assembly